AACUUUCAACAACGGAUCUCUUGGUUCUGGCAUCGAUGAAGAACGCAGCGAAAUGCGAUAAGUAAUGUGAAUUGCAGAAUUCAGUGAAUCAUCGAAUCUUUGAACGCACAUUGCGCCCUCUGGCAUUCCGGAGGGCACACCUGUCCGAGCGCCGUCGCAACACUGAGGCUUCAGCCUUGCGUUGGCGGACGGCCUCCCCUUUCUUCGGGGGGGCCGCCGCUUAAACUUCGACGGCGCCGCACCGCGGCCGACGAUGCGCGAGAGCACCAGUUGGCGAGCGGGAGUGGCGGCCCAGUCUCAUCCACAGCUUGGCCUCGGAUCAGGUGGGGAUACCCGCUGAACUUAAGCAUAUCAAUAAGCGGAGGAAAAGAAACCAACAGGGAUUGCCUCAGUAACGGCGAGUGAAGCGGCA
This 412-nucleotide unclassified non-coding RNA is filed under the name uncultured Ascomycota. RNAcentral's name for it is "sequence contains 5.8S rRNA gene, ITS2, 28S rRNA gene". The stretch from base 1 to 154 matches the Rfam family "5.8S ribosomal RNA". Lineage: Eukaryota; Fungi; Ascomycota. The record is from RNAcentral.